RNAcentral lists this transfer RNA (90 nucleotides) under Bacteriophage sp. RNAcentral's name for it is "tRNA-Tyr". It matches the Rfam family "tRNA". Rfam says of the family: Transfer RNA (tRNA) molecules are approximately 80 nucleotides in length. Their secondary structure includes four short double-helical elements and three loops (D, anti-codon, and T loops). The record is from RNAcentral.
GGGCGAACGGCAACGAUUGGCGGUGUUGCGGCGGACUGUAAAUCCGUUCCCUCGUGGUAAACAUUGGAGGUUCAAUUCCUCUUUCGCCCA